This 253-nucleotide ribosomal RNA is filed under the name uncultured bacterium. Its description in RNAcentral is "partial 16S ribosomal RNA". It matches the Rfam family "Bacterial small subunit ribosomal RNA", at positions 524 to 776 of the family's 1533-position model. The record is from RNAcentral.
UACGUAGGUGGCAAGCGUUGUCCGGAUUUAUUGGGUUUAAAGGGCUCGUAGGCGGCCAACUAAGUCAGACGUGAAAUCCCUCGGCUUAACCGGGGAACUGCGUCUGAUACUGGAUGGCUAGAGGUUGGGAGAGGGAUGCGGAAUUCCAGGUGUAGCGGUGAAAUGCGUAGAUAUCUGGAGGAACACCGGUGGCGAAGGCGGCAUCCUGGACCAAUUCUGACGCUGAGGAGCGAAAGCCAGGGGAGCAAACGGG